This is a long non-coding RNA of Bombyx mori (domestic silkworm), 422 nucleotides long. RefSeq lists it as uncharacterized. The record is from RefSeq and is a predicted model, not a curated record. The transcript has 3 exons. NCBI's taxonomy places the organism in Eukaryota, Metazoa, Arthropoda, Insecta, Lepidoptera, Bombycidae.
CCGAAUUCGUUUGGCGAAGUUUUCUUGCUAUUAAUUUCAUUGUGUCGUGUGCUGGCAAAACGACUAAUAUAGUUCUUGUCAUUGUGUCAGAGGAAGAGGAUUUCGUUCUGCAGCUUGAUGUAGGGGAGCCAAAUGGGAAUUGAGUAAUGGGUUACUCUUGCAAGAGAUGGGUUCUGGCAUCCAGUCUUUCAAUGUUUUAAGACUGACUGGAAGCCCAUCCGAAUAACCUUGCUAAGCAUUUAAUGGACAACCAAAUGACUACAAGAAGACUCAGAAGAAGAGUGCCUCAAGAUCUACUGUAGAUUAAUUGAUAUGGACAUGUCAAUGGACAUUGUGCAUGCACCGCCGAAAUUGUUUUUCUCAAAACUACGGUUGAAUGUCUUACGACAGCUUACUGUAUAGAAUAAAUAUUUUGUCAAAUA